GCCCGGGUGGUGAAAUUGGUAGACACACAAGACUUAAAAUCUUGCGACUUCACGGUCGUGCCGGUUCGAUUCCGGCCCCGGGCACCA
This 87-nucleotide transfer RNA is filed under the name Gammaproteobacteria bacterium. RNAcentral's name for it is "tRNA-Leu". It matches the Rfam family "tRNA". From Rfam's summary of the family: Transfer RNA (tRNA) molecules are approximately 80 nucleotides in length. Lineage: Bacteria; Pseudomonadati; Pseudomonadota; Gammaproteobacteria. The record is from RNAcentral.